GGAGGUUGAAUAGGGUUAGAAAGACGGCAUGACUAUAUCUCUAAUGUAGACCUAAAGUGCUUCCUAGAGCUAGGGACCAGGAUUCUAAAUGAGACCUGAGGGAAUGGAGCUGUUGUUGACAAGAGCUGUUAGACAAACAGGACAUGGAGGAGGAGAGGUCAAAAGUCCGUCUGACUCACCUGUGCUGAGUGACUUGAAUGCCAUCUAAUCUAACUUCAAGGUCACAGUGUUUGGACACCGCAUGAACAUGCCAAUUUCCUGUGUUGUAAUAUUUUUAUGCACUUUAAGAAGACCACCAGAAACAGCAGACCACAGGAUGUCUAGGAGCCAGCAGAGGGGCCAGAUAUGCUGCAGUUUAUGCUGUAAAAGGAAGCCUGCCGCCGUGAGUGGUCCAGUGGGAGCUCUUGCUUUGUGUCCUCAGCCUUUCACCUUUCCAUCUGAUGACUUGCUCUGAAUCUUCACUUCCUGGGCAGAGCUCUGAGUAUAGAUGAGGCAAACUUCACAUGGAAAAGAAGCCAUAUUUUGAAAAAACUACACGGAAUCAAAGAGAACUAACUCAAAGAAGCAAAAUUUUGGAGAUAAAACAAGCACCAUUCAGAAUCUGGACAUAUAAUAUGUUUAUGGCAUUUAACCUAGUCAGACAGUAGAUAUUGCUCUAAGUCAUGGCCUACACCUGUGAGCCUACUUAUAUCAGCAUUUGCCAAAUGUACUUGUAGCUGUGGUACUGACCUCAGAGAACUUAGCCAAAGAGCAAAGACUGCCUAAUUCAAGAAGUACUGAGAAGAUGUUCCAGGAUUACUUCAUGCUGUCCAGGUCCUAGACAUGGAAUCGUUUGCUUCUUCAAAAGUCUGGAUCCCUUUAAGAUACGAAAUGUAUUUAGAAACCAAAGUAUGGAUGCUAGGUGUGCUCAUGGCCAUUGGAGUGUGUUUCUAGACCCAGGAAUAAGCAAACAAUGGCCUGUAAACUAUAUCCUGUCUGUGGCCUGUUUUUGUACAUCCUAAGAACUAAAAAUUAUUUUAAAAAUUGUAAAUGGGAAAAAGUCAACAACAACAAACAAAUCAACAAAUAACCCCACAAAUAAACAGUUUCUUAAAGACCAGAAUGACCAAGAAA
RNAcentral lists this long non-coding RNA (1113 nucleotides) under Homo sapiens (human). RNAcentral describes it as "long intergenic non-protein coding RNA 1811". Lineage: Eukaryota; Metazoa; Chordata; Mammalia; Primates; Hominidae. The record is from RNAcentral.